AUACUUACCUGGACGGGGUCAAUGAGCGAUCAUAAAGGCCCAUGGCCUAGGUUGGUGGCCUUCAUUGCACAUGGGAGGUGCACCCGCCUAAGGUCAACCUAAAGUGGUUGAGCCUACGUCAUAAUUUGUGACAGUGGGGACCUGCGUUUGCGCGGCCCCCUC
This 162-nucleotide small nuclear RNA is filed under the name Citrus sinensis (sweet orange). Its description in RNAcentral is "U1 spliceosomal RNA". It matches the Rfam family "U1 spliceosomal RNA". Rfam says of the family: U1 is a small nuclear RNA (snRNA) component of the spliceosome (involved in pre-mRNA splicing). Its 5' end forms complementary base pairs with the 5' splice junction, thus defining the 5' donor site of an intron. Lineage: Eukaryota; Viridiplantae; Streptophyta; Magnoliopsida; Sapindales; Rutaceae. RNAcentral also lists the same sequence under 1 other name. The record is from Rfam by way of RNAcentral.